This 2192-nucleotide long non-coding RNA is filed under the name Triticum aestivum (bread wheat). RNAcentral's name for it is "long non-coding RNA (TAES_LNC000668)". Lineage: Eukaryota; Viridiplantae; Streptophyta; Magnoliopsida; Poales; Poaceae. The record is from RNAcentral.
CCUCUCGCGCACGAUCCCCUCUCCACUUCUCCCCCAACCGCGCGCGUUGAUUCUGCAAUGGCUCCCACUUCGCCCCACUCCGCCACUCCUUUGUUUCUGGCUCCCGGCUCCAUCUCUUCCCCCUUAGGUGAAUCGAGGCGGAAUCGCGGGCAACUCUGCUUCUUCCACGGCGAAUCGAGGCGGGGGCUGCGGGUUGCUUCUGUGGCAGUCGGCGACCCAAUUCCUGCCGGUGAGAUUCCUACCCCACUUGGUGUUUGCGGCGUGGGGUAAACACGGGGUUCCGCAGAGGAUUUUUGGAGAGCGCAUACUAUUUUUUGGAGAGUGCAGCAAGCAUUUUGUUCAGGGGUGUUAGGUUGUUUGAGAUUGACGGGCCGAAAGAGUUUGAUGUGUUGUGGGUUCGUUCCAUUUUUGUCUGACGCUGGGGUGGUAUUGUAGUUUAGGCGUAGAUGGUGAGAACCCGCAAUAGCUUAAUCCAGAUUAGUCGUCGGCGGGUGGUGGAUAGGGUCUGAUUUCCCCCGCAGUUUAAGCUCGAUUUGGUCGGGUAGGGUGGGUGCUUGUUGGUUCCUGACUUGUUUUUUGGUUCAAUCCGACAGUGUACUUAGAUUUUUGUUGUGUGUGAGUGCAUGGAUUUCUCGUUUGGCACUUGGAUUUCCACAAACUGAGGAAGUUUGUUUUGAGAUUCUGGAUUGGUUAGUUCCUACUGGGUGGUGAAUUUUUGUAUGUGGAACUGAACUCUAUACCCAAUCCCCUCCUUGAUGUGUUUUGGUUGUAGAUGUGCCAUGAGGUAUUGGUCAAGGUUCUAGUCUAAUUCUUAAUUAUUGCAACAAAAAUCUGUGCAUAAUGCUUAUCUACCAGGGUCUGUUGCUUGAAAUUACCACUGGAUUUGUUAGUGGUUACCAUGAAAUUGCGUGCUAGUUCUCAUGCUUCAAAUCGAGCAUAAUGCUUUAUUUUUUUACCAUGUCCCUUUGUUUGUCAUUACCACUGUAUUUUUGUUAGUGGUUACCUUGAAAUCCCACGCUAGUUCACUUGCUUCAGAUAUAACAUAAUGCUUGAUAUUUACCAUGGCUUAUUGCUUGAAAUUACCACUGUAUUUGUUAGUGGUUAUCAUCAAAUUCCUCUCUUAUUUUCAAUUUUCUUUUCAAUUAUGAUUGGCUUAUUGCUUGUUAAUUUUUCUUGUUUAAUGUUAGUAGUUUAAUGGAAGCUCCAUUUGAAUUUAAAGAGACAUUCAUGAUUUGUUUUGUAGAUGUAUUUAGUUAUUGUGACAUUUUUCGCUAUGACAAUAUGCAUUUAGACUAAAAAAUGCAUUUAUUGUCAGUCCAUGAGUAUCAAUUUCUCUGUUUGUUGUUUGUGUGCCCGUUAUUGUUAUCAUGAUCUUCUUCUUUCCACGGGUAUUAUAUUGGCAUGUACUUUUGUUGCUUUUCUGUAACAUGCGUAUUAUGUGGGAAUUAUCUUGUUGUCUGAAUGUUAAGUACCAGUGGUAUUAGUAAUAAGAUUCAAUGUCAAUUAAGAAAGUUAUCAUGGCUGAUAAGUUCAAAUUACCAGUCACUUGCAUACAAGUUACCACAAUUAUUUUUACCAGGUUAUGGCUUGAUGUGUCUUUUAGUUCAGCUCUUUAAGCUGGUGUCAUUUUUUUCAUUGUUAUUCCUUAAAUGUUUUGUUUCUUUUUACAUGGCAGGGCGUGCUCUUUAUUUGCUCUUAAUGAUGGGGAGUUCAGAAGUUACCUAUGAAGAUGUUUUCCGGAGUGGACAUCCCCGCCGUCAGCAUCGUUGGAGUACGCCAUGGACCAAUAGGGCUUGUCACCAACGUUCAGUACAAGACAAAAUCGAAUGGACGCAUAUCCUUCUAUGAGUCCGGCUGGCGGGAGUUCUUGACGGGAAAGAGAGAACUACGGCUAGACACCCUUGUGAUAAUCACCAUAAGGAAGAGCAACCGCAACGACUUUCAGAUGAUGGUUGUCGUUGACCAUGUUUAGAAAUAUGGUUUAAGUCAUGAAUAUAUCAGCAGCUGAAGUGUUAGUUAAUUAGUAUGUUAAUAUGGAUGUGAUCGAUACAUUGAUAUAUUUGUUUCUUGAGUCGAACAAAUUUGAACUGUUACUUAAUUAUUUGGCCAUUUGUUUCCAAAAUGAUUCAAUCUGGUUCAGUUACAUUGAGAAUCAUAUGACUAUGGCUUUUGGAGUAAUGUGUGUCAACCCG